AUACGGAGGGUGCAAGCGUUACUCGGAAUCACUGGGCGUAAAGCGCGCGCAGGCGGCUAUUUAAGUUGGAUGUGAAAGCCUACGGCUCAACCGUAGAACUGCAUCCAAAACUAUUAGACUAGAGUGUGGGAGAGGAAGAUGGAAUUAGUUGUGUAGGGGUAAAAUCCGUAGAGAUAACUAGGAAUACCAAAAGCGAAGGCAAUCUUCUGGAACACUACUGACGCUGAGGCGCGAAAGCGUGGGGAGCAAACAGGAUUAGAAACCCUUGUAGUCC
This 274-nucleotide ribosomal RNA is filed under the name uncultured bacterium. RNAcentral describes it as "partial 16S ribosomal RNA". It matches the Rfam family "Bacterial small subunit ribosomal RNA", at positions 523 to 796 of the family's 1533-position model. The record is from RNAcentral.